UUUAUGGAGAGUUUGAUCCUGGCUCAGGAUGAACGCUGGCGGCGUGCCUAAUACAUGCAAGUCGAGCGAACGGACGAGAAGCUUGCUUCUCUGAUGUUAGCGGCGGACGGGUGAGUAACACGUGGAUAACCUACCCAUAAGACUGGGAUAACUUCGGGAAACCGGAGCUAAUACCGGAUAAUAUUUUGAACCGCAUGGUUCAAAAGUGAAAGACGGUCUUGCUGUCACUUAUGGAUGGAUCCGCGCUGCAUUAGCUAGUUGGUAAGGUAACGGCUUACCAAGGCAACGAUGCAUAGCCGACCUGAGAGGGUGAUCGGCCACACUGGAACUGAGACACGGUCCAGACUCCUACGGGAGGCAGCAGUAGGGAAUCUUC
Molecule: ribosomal RNA, 376 nt
Filed under: Staphylococcus aureus
Lineage: Bacteria; Bacillati; Bacillota; Bacilli; Caryophanales; Staphylococcaceae
Description: bacterial SSU rRNA
Rfam family: Bacterial small subunit ribosomal RNA
Source: RNAcentral